AGGGUGUAAACGCUGCAGACUUGGUGUUGGAAAUCCUUCGAGGGUAUUCAGUGCCGGAGAGAAGUUGUUAAGUCUGCUACUUGGGGGAGUACGUCCGCAAGGAUGAAACUUAAGGAAUUGGCGGGGGAGCACCGCAACGGGAGGAGCGUGCGGUUUAAUUGGAUUCAACACCGGAAAACUCACCAGGGGAGACUGUUACAUGAAACCCAGACUAAUGAUCUUGGUUGAUUUUCAGAGAGGAGGUGCAUGGCGUCAGUGACU
This 261-nucleotide ribosomal RNA is filed under the name uncultured archaeon. Its description in RNAcentral is "partial 16S ribosomal RNA". It matches the Rfam family "Archaeal small subunit ribosomal RNA", at positions 748 to 1008 of the family's 1478-position model. The record is from RNAcentral.